UCACUGUACCUCCUUGCACUGAAGGCAUCAUUUGGACCGUUGAUAAGAAGGUAAGAACUGUUUCAAGGGGGCAAGUGAAGUUGGUCAAGGAUACAGUACUUAAUUAUGUAAGUAAAUCACUCUGAGGGAUUUACUUUUCUUUAGGAUCCAUUAAGUAGAAAGCUCACAAAUUAAGAAUUGUACAGGAGAGAAGGGAAAAAGAGAUUAAAAAAUGCAGUUUAAGAUUAUAACUCGCACACUUAAUUCCAUUAUAUAUAGCUCAAACAUGGUAUUACAGUUUAUUUUUUAUUUUAA
Molecule: long non-coding RNA, 294 nt
Organism: Glycine soja
Lineage: Eukaryota; Viridiplantae; Streptophyta; Magnoliopsida; Fabales; Fabaceae
Exons: 2
Source: RefSeq, a predicted model, not a curated record